UGAGUGCGAGCUGCUACGGCAGCGAAGUUGGUGACGUCAAGCUUCCAAGAAAAGCCCUAUACCCGUUAAGGCAUCAUGGCCUGUACCCGAAACCGACACAGGUGGGGUGGUAGAGAAUACCGAGGGGCGCGAGGUAACUCUCUCUAAGGAACUCGGCAAAAUGGCCCCGUAACUUCGGGAGAAGGGGUGCCACCGCAAGGUGGUCGCAGUGAAGAGGCCCAGGCGACUGUUUACCAAAAACACAGGUCUCCGCUAAGUCGCAAGACGAUGUAUGGGGGCUGACGCCUGCCCAGUGCCGGAAGGUUAAGGAAGCUGGUCAGCGCAAGCGAAGCUGGCGACUGAAGCCCCGGUGAACGGCGGCCGUAACAAUAACGGUCCUAAGGUAGCGAAAUUCCUUGUCGGGUAAGUUCCGACCCGCACGAAAGGCGUAACGAUCUGGGCGCUGUCUCGGAGAGAGGCUCGGCGAAAUAGAAUUGUCUGUGAAGAUGCGGACUACGUGCACCCGGACAGAAAGACCCUAUGAAGCUUUACUGUAGCUUGGUAUUGUGCCCGGGCUCUGAAUGCGCAGGAUAGGUGGGAGGCUUUGAUCAUCGGCUUGCGGGUCGAUGUGAGCCAACGGUGAGAUACCACUCUUUCAGAGCUAGGGUUCUAACAGUCACCCGUUAUCCGGGGACUGGACAGUAUCAGGUGGGCAGUUUGACUGGGGCGGUCGCCUCCUAAAAGGUAACGGAGGCGCGCAAAGGUCUGCUCAGGCUGGUUGGAAAUCAGCCGACGAGUGUAAAAGCAGAAGCAGGCUUGACUGUGAGACCUACAAGUCGAACAGGGAGGAAACUCGGCUUUAGUGAUCCGACGGUUCUGCGUGGAAGGGCCGUCGCUCAACGGAUAAAAGUUACUCUAGGAUAACAGGCUGAUCUCCCCCAAGAGUUCACAUCGACGGGGAGGUUUGGCACCUCGAUGUCGGCUCAUCGCAACCUGGGGCUGAAGUCGGUCCCAAGGGUUGGGCUGUUCGCCCAUUAAAGCGGUACGCGAGCUGGGUUCAGAACGUCGUGAGACAGUUCGGUCCAUAUCCGGUGCAUGCGCAGGAAUAUUGAGAGGAGUUCUCCCUAGUACGAGAGGACCGGGAGGAACGCACCUCUGGUGUACCAGUUAUCGUGCCAACGGUAAACGCUGGGUAGCCAUGUGCGGAGAGGAUAACCGCUGAAAGCAUCUAAGUGGGAAGCCCACCUCAAGAUGAGUAUUCCCAUGGCGUUAGCCAGUAAGGUCACGGGAAGAACACCCGUUGAUAGGCUCUAUGUGGAAGCGCAGUAAUGCGUGAAGCAGAGGAGUACUAAUAGGCCGAGGGC
This 1343-nucleotide ribosomal RNA is filed under the name metagenome. Its description in RNAcentral is "bacterial LSU rRNA". It matches the Rfam family "Bacterial large subunit ribosomal RNA", at positions 1564 to 2912 of the family's 2925-position model. The record is from RNAcentral.